Molecule: non-coding RNA, 148 nt
Filed under: Aeromicrobium sp. 9AM
Lineage: Bacteria; Bacillati; Actinomycetota; Actinomycetes; Propionibacteriales; Nocardioidaceae
Description: FMN
Rfam family: FMN riboswitch aptamer (RFN element)
About the family: The RFN element is a highly conserved domain that is found frequently in the 5'-untranslated regions of prokaryotic mRNAs that encode for flavin mononucleotide (FMN) biosynthesis and transport proteins. This element is a metabolite-dependent riboswitch that directly binds FMN in the absence of proteins.
Source: RNAcentral
AGACGUUCUCAGGGCGGGGUGGAAGUCCCCACCGGCGGUGAGGGUGGCGCAAGCCGUCCGCAGCCCGCGAGCGCCUCCUCCGGGAGGGUCAGCAGACUCGGUGCGACUCCGGGGCCGACGGUCACAGUCCGGAUGAGAGAGAACGAUC